This 463-nucleotide ribosomal RNA is filed under the name uncultured bacterium. RNAcentral describes it as "partial 16S ribosomal RNA". It matches the Rfam family "Bacterial small subunit ribosomal RNA", at positions 30 to 507 of the family's 1533-position model. The record is from RNAcentral.
AUUGAACGCUGGCGGUAUGCUUAAGACAUGCAAGUCGAACGGUAACAGGUUAAGCUGACGAGUGGCGGACGAGUGAGUAACGCGUGGGAAUCUACCUUGUAGUGGGGGAUAAGCCAGGGAAACUUGGACUAAUACCGCAUACGCCCUAAGGGGAAAGGCGCAAGUCGCUAUAAGAUGAGCCCGCGUCUGAUUAGGUAGUUGGUGGGGUAAAGGCCUACCAAGCCGACGAUCAGUAGCUGGUCUGAGAGGAUGAUCAGCCACGUCGGGACUGAGACACGGCCCGGACUCCUACGGGAGGCAGCAGUCGGGAAUAUUGGACAAUGGGGGAAACCCUGAUCCAGCAAUACCGCGUGUGUGAAGAAGGCCUGCGGGUUGUAAAGCUCUUUUGUCCGGAAAGAAAGCAAUCGGUUAAUACCCGGUUGUUCUGACGGUACCGGAAGAAUAAGCACCGGCUAACUUCGUG